Molecule: ribosomal RNA, 497 nt
Filed under: uncultured bacterium
Lineage: Bacteria
Description: partial 16S ribosomal RNA
Rfam family: Bacterial small subunit ribosomal RNA
Source: RNAcentral
GAUGAACGCUGGCGGCGUGCCUAAUACGUGCAAGUAGAACGCUGAAGGAAGGAGCUUGCUCUUUCCGGAUGAGUUGCGAACGGGUGAGUAACGCGUAGGUAACCUGCCUGGUAGCGGGGGAUAACUAUUGGAAACGAUAGCUAAUACCGCAUAACAGUAGAUGUUGCAUGACAACUAUUUGAAAGGGGCAAUUGCUCCACUACCAGAUGGACCUGCGUUGUAUUAGCUAGUUGGUGAGGUAACGGCUCACCAAGGCGACGAUACAUAGCCGACCUGAGAGGGUGAUCGGCCACACUGGGACUGAGACGCGGCCCAGACUCCUACGGGAGGCAGCAGUAGGGAAUCUUCGGCAAUGGACGGAAGUCUGACCGAGCAACGCCGCGUGAGUGAAGAAGGUUUUCGGAUCGUAAAGCUCUGUUGUAAGAGAAGAACGAGUGUGAGAGUGGAAAGUUCACACUGUGACGGUAUCUUACCAGAAAGGGACGGCUGACUACGUG